UGGGAGAUAGUUUAAGGGUAGAACACUUGACUCUGGAUCAGGUAAUCUUGGUUCGAAUCCAGGUCUCCCAGCCA
RNAcentral lists this transfer RNA (74 nucleotides) under Alphaproteobacteria bacterium. Its description in RNAcentral is "tRNA-Gln". It matches the Rfam family "tRNA". From Rfam's summary of the family: Transfer RNA (tRNA) molecules are approximately 80 nucleotides in length. Lineage: Bacteria; Pseudomonadati; Pseudomonadota; Alphaproteobacteria. The record is from RNAcentral.